UACGAAGGGUGCAAACGUUGCUCGGAAUUAUUGGGCGUAAAGGAUGCGUAGAUGGUUCAGUAAGUUACUGGUGGGAAAUCGAGGCCCAACCUCGUGGAAGUUAGUAAUACUGUUGAACUUGAGUGCAGGAGAGGUUAACGGAACUUCAUGUGGAGCGGUAAAAUGCGUAGAUAUAUGAAAGAACAUCAAUAUGGCGAAGGCAGUUAACUAUUCUGCUACUGACAUUGAGGCAUGAAAGCGUGGGGAGCAAAACGG
This 255-nucleotide ribosomal RNA is filed under the name uncultured bacterium. RNAcentral's name for it is "partial 16S ribosomal RNA". It matches the Rfam family "Bacterial small subunit ribosomal RNA", at positions 524 to 776 of the family's 1533-position model. The record is from RNAcentral.